CCGGAAACUUAAAGCCCAAAAGAAGGAAGCGAAAGCCCAAAAGAGGGAACCAGUUGAACACGUGGAGAAUACAAUCCACAAAAACGAAACAAAAGUCAAAAACUUAAACAAAAGCUCGAAAGAAAACGAACUUGCCAAUCUUACUCCCACACCAAUGUGAACAAAGCCAACCACAAAGGACAACAUGCGUCCAUCUUGCAGUUAACGAAACCUCCUAUUGCGUAGCCAAGGUACCUCUCAAAUCGAAUGAACCUAGACUUCUAUUCCGACAAGAAAGACGCGAGACAAAGAGACCAAAUCCCACAAAUCUUUCGGAAGCGGCGUUUGUCGCAAACCACGACCUUUAAUCGCCUCGUUAGAAGACAUGAACUGACCAGACCUCGAUCAGGUCUUGAGUGUAGAGACAAAGAGCGAAACAAACCUCUAACCGGCAAACACUAAACUCAAAAGGAGAAAAGCAUACGAUCGAACCGGAGAGAUCACAAUAAAGCUCAUCAAAGGACAAAAGCAAGCUCAACAAGACACAAAAACAAGAGAGCUCUAGCAAGCUCAAACCAAAGCUUCGGGCAGCAAGAGAGGAAGGAGAACGAGGUAGCCAUACCAAAAUCCCAGAUUAUCCGUAGAAUCAGAGCCUAAACUAACCUACACAACCCCUUAAGCUACCUAAACUAACGAUUAUACAACCAUAAAGCCACAAGCAAGAGACCAGAGGCAACGAUUAAGCCAUCAACACAAACUACAAAGACUACACCAAGCGCAACCAUGGGAGAAACCAACGAGAGGAGCAGCCCACCCGACAAAGGCCAACACCACCACAGCCCCAAAAGAACCAAGGGGACAGAAACUUCCAACAACCACAAGCUCUCGUCACUUACCAGAUCCACCAUCACCCGACAACACUAACCAGAGCCAACACCUUUAACAUAGAGAACCCGCCAAUCCUUGCAAAAUCCACCGUUGCAAUCACCAAAGACCCACGCCGCAACCAAACCGCCACUCCAAUCGCCAAGGUUUCACCAAAGAAAACACCAACAAGACUAAGAACAAAGCAAAGGAACAACAACAAGAGCCCUCUCGCGGUGCCGGUGAGAAGCACCGACCACCGGAGAGGCAGAUCUAAGAAUCGAUUUUUUGUGACCCUCGACGGCUG
This 1150-nucleotide long non-coding RNA is filed under the name Arabidopsis lyrata. RNAcentral's name for it is "long non-coding RNA (ALYR_LNC002858)". Lineage: Eukaryota; Viridiplantae; Streptophyta; Magnoliopsida; Brassicales; Brassicaceae. The record is from RNAcentral.